CCUGGGGCAGGCAGCCUCUGUCUGAGAUGGUCCCCACUGACCUCCAAGUGACUGAACCAAGUGACUCAUUUCUGGCAAAUAAAAUACUAAAAAUGUGAUGGAUAUCAUUCUGGGAUUAGGGUACAGAAAGGCUCUGACUUCCUUCCCCAUUAUUCACCAUCUUCUUCUUUUGCUUCUUGCAUUGAGGAAGGCAACUGCUAUGUUGUGAGCUGCUCUAGGAGAGGCCCAUGUGGAAGGAAGUGAGGCAGGCCUCUGGCCAACAGUCCAGGAGGAACUGAAGCCCUCAGUCCAACAGCCUGUGUGGAACUGAAUCCUGCAAACAACUCUGUGUGUAAGCUUGGAAGUGGAUCCAUACUCAGUCAAACCUUGAGAUGGGACCCCAUGCCCUGCUGACACUUGAUUGUGGUCCCAGCUAGGCCACUGCUGAAGUCUUGACUCAGAGAAACUAUGAUAUAGUAAAUGUUGUUUCAAGUUGAUGUGAUGCCUGGAACUCAUGCAGCUAUCUUGCAAUGAUGAGGAUGAGGCUAAGAGAAUAGGAGAGAGCCUCGCUCAAACAGGAUGAAACAUCAUGAUGAAAUGCUGCCUAGAAGAAAGAUGAAAAGAAAAAUAAAACUUUUUGAAGUGCAUACAAUGGGCCAGGCCUUGGGCUUUCACAUGCAUUAUUUCAUGCAGUACCAAAGACAUUGGUGUCAUGAUUACUAUUUUCAUUUGUUGAGAAAACUGAGGUUGAAUAAUUUUCCUUUUAUCAAACUGACUACCAAGUGUCUGUUUAGUAUGAAGGAACAAUUAUGAAAUGCAAGAGUCAAAUUUCCAGAGAGUUUGAUCUGUCU
Cercocebus atys (sooty mangabey) is the source of this 830-nucleotide long non-coding RNA. RefSeq lists it as uncharacterized. The transcript is spliced from 3 exons. Lineage: Eukaryota; Metazoa; Chordata; Mammalia; Primates; Cercopithecidae. The record is from RefSeq and is a predicted model, not a curated record.